Cotesia glomerata is the source of this 312-nucleotide long non-coding RNA. RefSeq lists it as uncharacterized. NCBI's taxonomy places the organism in Eukaryota, Metazoa, Arthropoda, Insecta, Hymenoptera, Braconidae. The record is from RefSeq and is a predicted model, not a curated record. The transcript is spliced from 3 exons.
GUGUGUGUGUGUGUGUGUGUGUGUGUGUGUAUUUCUUAUUUCAGUUUAUUUGUGACAUCGUGACUGACCGGUUCCUUGCAUUUUUCCGGAUCAAAAUUUUUGGCGAAAAAACAGCGAAAGGAUGCAUUUGUAAAAUGGCAUCUGCACUGAUGACCAAAAAUGUUGAAAAAAAUUACUCUGGUACUGAGAAAAGAAUAAAAGGCGUGGGAAAACUUAAUUUUAGCGCAACAGAAACAUUUAAGUGUAUGGAAGAUGUAGUAAAAGAGAAACUUGGUGACUGUGAAGAUUGCAAAAAUUUUGCCGGAAAAGUUG